This 84-nucleotide microRNA precursor is filed under the name Megaselia scalaris. RNAcentral describes it as "mir-263 microRNA precursor family". It matches the Rfam family "mir-263 microRNA precursor family". Lineage: Eukaryota; Metazoa; Arthropoda; Insecta; Diptera; Phoridae. The record is from Rfam by way of RNAcentral.
CUUGCACAGUUAAUGGCACUGGAAGAAUUCACGGGUUCUUUGAUUUACCUUCCCGUGAUCUCUUAGUGGCAUCACUGGUGUAAU